Molecule: long non-coding RNA, 543 nt
Filed under: Piliocolobus tephrosceles (Ugandan red Colobus)
Lineage: Eukaryota; Metazoa; Chordata; Mammalia; Primates; Cercopithecidae
Description: lncRNA (ENSPTEG00000024403.1)
Source: RNAcentral
CAUUGUUCACUAACCCAGUGCCUAGCAUGGUGCCAGGCACAUAGUUACUCUAAGAAAGCACAGUGAUUGCUGGAUUCUUUCUCUCCUUGUACAGCUCUUCAUGUGGAUGUCUGAGCUCCUAUCAGGUGUCUGAAAGAGGCAGAUUCUGAGGAUUUGGGUCAUGAUGGCUGCCAAAGCUUCUACGCCUGACUUAAAGGGCAACAAUCCUAGGAGACCACCAGCACUUACAUCCCUGGUGGGACAUGACACCUGCUUAUGGCCCAGAAGUGACAAAAGAGAAUUAUCAGGAUGGCAGUCCUUAUAACCAGAUGCUUAUAAACAUUCUUCACUACAUUCUGAAGAUGAAUUUCUACAAGGGAAAUUGUUUAUUUAACCUCAGAGACCUGGUAAUCCAUAUGACCCCACAGCUAUGCCUCAUGGCCCAGAGGGUAGGAUUUCAUCUCCACCAUCCUCUUCCUCAAUGUGAAGGGCUGUUGAGUGAGUACCCUUAGGGAACAAUACUGGGGAAGUAUAAAAUUAUCAUCUUCCAAAUAAGAAGCUGCU